AUUUCUCUGAGGUGUUCGCCAGCGGGUCAGUCCCCUGAGCCGAUAUUUCAUACCACAAGAAUGUGGCGAUUCCUGACCGGUGCGCAUGCUCGGCUCGUCCGAGAAGCCUUAAGGUCUCGACGCUGCGUUCACCUUGAACCAAGGGUUCAAGGGUUACAGCCUGCGGCGGCAUCUCGGAGAUCCC
Non-coding RNA from Sodalis praecaptivus, 184 nucleotides. It matches the Rfam family "6S / SsrS RNA". From Rfam's summary of the family: E. coli 6S RNA was the first non coding RNA to be sequenced, but its function was unknown until recently. It consists of 184 nucleotides that fold into an extended hairpin structure with a large single-stranded internal bulge. The record is from Rfam. NCBI's taxonomy places the organism in Bacteria, Pseudomonadati, Pseudomonadota, Gammaproteobacteria, Enterobacterales, Bruguierivoracaceae.